Long non-coding RNA from Homo sapiens (human), 693 nucleotides. Ensembl annotates it as RMDN2 antisense RNA 1. Its record names the gene RMDN2-AS1. The record is from Ensembl. Lineage: Eukaryota; Metazoa; Chordata; Mammalia; Primates; Hominidae.
UCUCAUCAUGGCCACUUAGCUUGCUCGAGAUUACACAGAACCAUGCCUCUGGUUUCCUGGUACAGUGCUCCGGCAGGUGACGGAUGCUCCUGGGUGACAUAUCACGGAUCUCUCUGAGGUAAGACGUGCCUUUUGCCUUCCACCUUCUGCCGUGAUUGUGAGGACCCGCCAGCCACGUGGAACUGUGAGUCCAUUAAACUUCUUUUUCUUUAUAAAUUAUCUAGUGGUGGGUAUGUCUUUAUCAGCAGCAUGAAAACGGACUAAUACACUAUCUCUUGUGCCUGAUCUGCUAGGCUUCCCCACCUCCUGCCCCACCCUCCCCUCCACUCUCCCUGCUCCCUAGUCCUCCUCUCCCUCUUUCUCCACUCUCUCCUUGUCACAUCAUAUCUGAGGGUAGAAAUUACUUUCAGUUUUUUUUUUUUUUUAAAGGAAACUUAGGAACACGUGAAAUGUUUUUCUUCUUCUUGAGUUGUUUAAUUUGGUUUAACAAAUGUUAAUUGAGCACAGGCUGCCAGGCAGGAGAUACAAAGGUAAAUAAUAUGAGGUCCUUGUCCUCACGUUAUUGAAGAUCUUAGGGUAGGUCAAACUAAACGAAGAUGCAAAAAAAUGCUCCAGGGCUUUGAGGUGGGUGAGAGCACAACUGGCUAUGUGGAUCAGAAGGUUUUGUGGCAAAACUUCCAUCCCUUGGCCCAG